This 286-nucleotide long non-coding RNA is filed under the name Panax ginseng (ginseng). Its description in RNAcentral is "long non-coding RNA (PGIN_LNC016087)". The record is from RNAcentral. Lineage: Eukaryota; Viridiplantae; Streptophyta; Magnoliopsida; Apiales; Araliaceae.
UAAGAGUACGAUAGCCUAAUCACCUAAAGUACUAUUAAUGGUAGUUUACCUUCUUUGUGAUUGUAAACAUACCAGGUAAUGUAUAGUUUUGCGGUAUGAAUACCGUUAAAUCUAUGUGUUCGUGGUCUAUAUGACCCCUCAGCACAAUUUUAAACCUUUUACUCUUGUGAGUGGUGUAUUGGGUAGCAUGUGAUAUGUGUGAAUGGUGUAAGGUGCACAGUGUAAGGUGUAAGGCGAAUUUCGGGGACGAAAUUCUUAUAAGGAGGGGUGAAUGUGACAACCCGAG